UACAGAGGUCCCAAGCGUUGUUCGGAUUCACUGGGCGUAAAGGGUGCGUAGGUGGUGAGGUAAGUCGGAUGUGAAAGCUCGGAGCUCAACUCCGAAAUGGCAUUGGAAACUACCUUGCUCGAGGGUUGGAGGGGGGACUGGAAUGCUUGGUGUAGCAGUGAAAUGCGUAGAUAUCAAGCGGAACACCAGUGGCGAAGGCGAGUCCCUGGACAGUUGCUGACGCUGAGGCGCGAUAGCGUGGGGAGCAAACAGG
Molecule: ribosomal RNA, 253 nt
Filed under: uncultured bacterium
Lineage: Bacteria
Description: partial 16S ribosomal RNA
Rfam family: Bacterial small subunit ribosomal RNA
Source: RNAcentral